GGGCGAAAGCCUGAUCCAGCAAUGCCGCGUGAGUGAUGAAGGCCUUAGGGUUGUAAAGCUCUUUUACUGGGGAUGAUAAUGACAGUACCCAGAGAAUAAGCCCCGGCUAACUCCGUGCCAGCAGCCGCGGUAAUACGGAGGGGGCUAGCGUUGUUCGGAAUUACUGGGCGUAAAGCGUGCGUAGGCGGUAAUUCAAGUCAGAGGUGAAAGCCUGGUGCUCAACAUCAGAACUGCCUUUGAAACUAGAUUGCUAGAAUUGCGGAGAGGUGAGUGGAAUUCCGAGUGUAGAGGUGAAAUUCGUAGAUAUUCGGAAGAACACCAGUGGCGAAGGCGGCUCNCUGGACGCAUAUUGACGCUGAGGUACGAAAGCGUGGGGAGCAAACAGGAUUAGAUACCCUGGUAGUCCACGCUGUAAACGAUGAUAACUAGUUGUCAGGGUUCAUAGAACUUUGGUGACG
Molecule: ribosomal RNA, 458 nt
Filed under: uncultured bacterium
Lineage: Bacteria
Description: bacterial SSU rRNA
Rfam family: Bacterial small subunit ribosomal RNA
Source: RNAcentral